This 1334-nucleotide long non-coding RNA is filed under the name Lathyrus oleraceus (garden pea). Its description in RNAcentral is "Pisum sativum (pea) long non-coding RNA (PSAT_LNC039058)". The record is from RNAcentral. Lineage: Eukaryota; Viridiplantae; Streptophyta; Magnoliopsida; Fabales; Fabaceae.
AAUUUAAUUCAAUAAGUCCCAAAUAAUCCAAACACACAUUUUGUCUAAAAAAACAAAACUAAGUAAUUACAGUGAAAAAUUGCUACAGAUGGAAAUAGGUUCAUAAUGACCAAAAUCAAGCAAUUAGGAUGAAAUCACUUUGGACUUAGUCACAAAAAAUAGGUUGUCUUGAAGCUUGGAGCAGCCACCUUCCAUUCCAUCAGGUCAUCUCAGAGCUAUAACCUGCAGAGAAAAAUAGCUUAUUUAAAAAGCACUUUUCAAAAGUACUUAGAGAACUGAAAAACAACUAAAUAAAUCAUUCAAAUUAAAAAUUUGUCCAUAAGGUUAAUCUAAACAUCCAAAAAGCACUUUUAACAUUUACUUAAAACAGAACAAACCAAAUCCCACAUAAUCUGGGAUGAGAAAUUCGAAAAAAGGAAGAAGUUUUUCUUUAAGACUUAAGCAAUAUUUCAUAAAUGGGGAAGAGAGGUUAACAAAUAUAUACAUAUCACAGUAAGAGAUUUUCUCAAAAAAAACACAGCAAGAACAAAAACACAGCAAAACAAUUCUUCUCAAAAACCUUUAACCAGAACACAACAAAAAACGAUUUGCAUUGAGAACAUCCAACAGAGAAAAUUCUUUAAAAAAAUAGCCAGCACAUAAAAAAAAACUCAACUCCUAAGGUUAUUGAGUUUUCAUACCGAAUCUCAAUAAACUUUGAGCUAAAGCACCAGCUACUCGCAUAUUACCGUCAAAGGUAGCCACAACCAAGAUUCGAACAGAGGGAAAAGCAGGCCAAAGGAAAGCAGAACGCACGAAAGACAACUUACCUGGACUUGUUUUCUCUUCUUCGCCGUUGCGUUAAAGCGGUAGAUCCUUGCCCCUUCACUUUUAUUCUUGGUUUAUCGUAUACAUUCGUAACUCACAAUCUAUGUAUCGCUCGCUCUUUGUCGUGUGUCGCUUGCUGUAUGAUGAUUAUUUGUUUUUCCUUUACCAUGUUUUUGCUUUGAAAUACGAUUUUGCAUUAAGACUGUUGAGCGACUGGAUCUGUGGAUUAUAGUACAGGUUGAUUCGAAGUUUAGUCUUAUGGUCCAAAUUUAUGGUGUGUGCAUGAACCAGUUUGAGGGUUGCUGUUUUGGGGUUGUUGGUGCGAGGAAGAUAAGAAAAGGCAGAGAGUGACCGCCAAAGAGUAGAAAAGGGGAAAGGAUUCUGAAUGAUUUCCUUCUACGUGCAGACUUCGUUUUUAUUUCCUUAUUUAAAAAUAGUUUUUAAGAGCAUUUAAUACCGGUCCUUUCCUCACUGCCCAAGGCCAACUGCCACUUCGUUUCCCACCCUCAUAAUUAUUCUCACUCUUU